Molecule: ribosomal RNA, 534 nt
Filed under: Leuconostoc sp.
Lineage: Bacteria; Bacillati; Bacillota; Bacilli; Lactobacillales; Lactobacillaceae
Description: bacterial SSU rRNA
Rfam family: Bacterial small subunit ribosomal RNA
Source: RNAcentral
CAAGAGUGAUGAAGGCUUUCGGGUCGUAAAGCACUGUUGUAUGGGAAGAACAGCUAGAAUAGGAAAUGAUUUUAGUUUGACGGUACCAUACCAGAAAGGGACGGCUAAAUACGUGCCAGCAGCCGCGGUAAUACGUAUGUCCCGAGCGUUAUCCGGAUUUAUUGGGCGUAAAGCGAGCGCAGACGGUUUAUUAAGUCUGAUGUGAAAGCCCGGAGCUCAACUCCGGAAUGGCAUUGGAAACUGGUUAACUUGAGUGCAGUAGAGGUAAGUGGAACUCCAUGUGUAGCGGUGGAAUGCGUAGAUAUAUGGAAGAACACCAGUGGCGAAGGCGGCUUACUGGACUGCAACUGACGUUGAGGCUCGAAAGUGUGGGUAGCAAACAGGAUUAGAUACCCUGGUAGUCCACACCGUAAACGAUGAACACUAGGUGUUAGGAGGUUUCCGCCUCUUAGUGCCGAAGCUAACGCAUUAAGUGUUCCGCCUGGGGAGUACGACCGCAAGGUUGAAACUCAAAGGAAUUGACGGGGGCCCGCA